AGGUGCUUAGCUCAUCUGGGAGAGCAUCGCCCUUACAAGGCAAGGGUCGUAGGUUCGAUCACUACAGCACCCUCCA
RNAcentral lists this transfer RNA (76 nucleotides) under Legionella sainthelensi. RNAcentral's name for it is "tRNA-Val". It matches the Rfam family "tRNA". Rfam says of the family: Transfer RNA (tRNA) molecules are approximately 80 nucleotides in length. The record is from RNAcentral. Lineage: Bacteria; Pseudomonadati; Pseudomonadota; Gammaproteobacteria; Legionellales; Legionellaceae.